AAAAAGUCCUACACAAUUUUUAAUCAGAAUUGAAUUAACUGGACUUUCAGUCAAAAUAAAAUUAUUUUAAUUAAGAAUCUAAAACUUUUUUUUUUUUUUAAAUACAAAAAUAUACUUCUGUAUUGGUACAAAGCAAAGGCAUCUUCUCCUGCACAAUUAUUAAUAUUAUCAAAGACAAUUUAACAGAAAUUCUGAUAUUUCAGUGUGAAAUGAUAGGUAUGCAUCAUAGUUGUAACAAAGUUAAAAUCUUUUUUAAAAACCCUAAUUAACAAGAAGUAAAAAAAAAAAGCUGCAAUUUUAGAUUCUUAAAGGAAACUGAUGGCUAUUUCUUUAAUUUCUGUGAAGUGAGUAUCUUAUUUAUUUGGAUUUUUUUGAUUUUUUAAAAGACAUUUGACAAAUAUUAGAACCAUAAGCUUAUCUUGAUUAAGACUUGUUCUAUAGAUUUCAGAAAAUUCUGUGAAAAUUCUGAAGUCUAUGAAAAAUUUCUCAGGGAAAUCAAGCACAAAUAUGGAGCUUCAAAACAGGGAAAAAAAUGAGAUUAAGAAUUGUGUGGCUGAUGUUCAGAAACACAAUUGUUAAAGUCAAAACAAAAAAGUAAAAUGCUAAGAUAUAUAUCCCCUACUUCAGGAAAAUAAAACACAGAAAACAUGUUUCUGAUUUGUCCAUCUGCACAAUUAUAUGUUGUUCUUAAUUCGGUUUUGUUCUUUUGUUUCAAGAACAAACUAUUCCAUGAUCUUUGCAUAUAACAGAACUCAGGCAUGGUUUCAUAUAUUUUAAAGAAACUUCCCCUGAUUAGUUUUAUUUUAGAAAGUGUUCCUCUCCAUGCUCUUCAGUAGCUAUUUAGAUGACAUAUUGAGAAUCCACUCACACACUUCAGGCAGAGACCAUGGAAAACCACACAGCCCACACUAUGCAGUGGACUGUACUCUUGACCAUGCACCUCACUUUGCAAAUAGCACAGAUUUCUUCCCCAUCAUUUACCAAAUCUGGCAUAUUGUAGCCAGAAACUUUACACAUGCCAAGAACUCAAAUACCAGGCUAUGCUGCAAACAAACAAAAAAAACACUCCUUCCCCCAAAACUCUGGUGUGUCUCAUACACUAAAUUUCCUCUAUAGAAACUUUGGUCCCAGAAACUUUCUGCAGGAUAAGUGAGAGAAAGAAGAGGAAACACCACAUAACAGGACGGGAAAUAAAUCCCCUUGUCUCUGCCCAGAAGUGCCCUGAAGGAGCUGGCUGAGAUGCAGCUCAUACCCAGAUUACUGCCCACUGAUGACAAGGGAAGGGAUGGAAGGAAAAAAUAUAGGUAUGAAAACAAAUAUAUUAAAUAAUUUAAAUCUAGAUUUAAUAUUGAAGUCAUCAGACCUGCUGGAGGAGGGAUUGCAAGGGUAUGAGAGUGUCAGGUUUGGGGAUUCUGGGGAGUGAAGGAGAGAUAAGUGUGUACUUCCUAGUUUGCCUCACUCCCUUCAUCCUCUGUGCUGGAGGAUGAGAAGGUUGAGCGGGUUUAGGGGCUCUGCAGCUGCCCUUCUCACACUUGAAUAAAGAGGAGCUUUUCUUUCUGGAGGGGGCAAGAUCUGUGAAUACCAUACUCAAUCAGAGAUGGGUCAUAUUGAAAACUAUAUUAAAUUACCCUGAUUAACAAUUUAUCCACGAACAGGGGAGCUUUGGGAGAUCUCUAUAGUAAGAGCUGGGGGCUAUUCAUGCCAGCAGCUAAGAGGUCGAAAGGUUUCUGAAGUUCACAGGCUCGGAGCUUUUGUUAUGCUAACAGACAUGCUCAAAUCAGCUGCUUACUGGAGUGUGAAAUAUAAAUGAUUCCUUGUGAACUUCCAACAAGUUGUCACUCUUGUUCUCCAAAUACCAGAACAGGCUGUUAAUUUAUAGUAGAGCCCUUUUCUCUCAGCAUCGUGAGCCCUAAAUGAAUGCCUUUGUACUUCAAAUAAUCUUUCUAAGGAAGUUGCCCUGCCAUAAUAGCCCAAACACAUCUUGUUUUUUCACUACAAAAGGAAAUAUCAGUAUUUAUCCAAAUUUGUCUUUCCCAGUGCAGAGGUGUUAGGGGUGGGUGGGAGAGAUGUUCCCAAAUACAGCAAGCUGGUACCCAAGAUGGGUGGGGUGUAUUAACAAGUGGUGAUAGACUGGGAACUGUGAGAGCCAAAACCUCAUCCCCCACUUCAUUAUGAAAAAAACCCCAGAAAAAGAUUUACUGUUCC
Taeniopygia guttata (zebra finch) is the source of this 2205-nucleotide long non-coding RNA. NCBI's taxonomy places the organism in Eukaryota, Metazoa, Chordata, Aves, Passeriformes, Estrildidae. The record is from Ensembl.